GUAUAAGUUGUUACGAGCACACGGUGGAUGCCUUGGCAUCAGGAGCUGAUGAAGGACGUGGAAAUCUGCGAUAAGCCUCGGGGAGCUGAUAAACGAGCUGUGAUCCGAGGGUCUCCGAAUGGGGUAACCCGGCUGCGUGUUAUGCGUAGUCACUCGUAUCUGAAUUCAUAGGGUGCGAGGAGGAACGUGGGGAAGUGAAACAUCUCAGUACCCAUAGGAAGAGAAAACAACAGUGAUUCCGUGAGUAGUGGCGAGCGAAAGCGGAUGGUGGCUAAACCGGUUGUGUGUGAUACCUGGCGAGGGUUGCAUGAUCGGGGUUGUGGGAUGCGUUGUUCCUGGGGUCGCCACCCUGGGCGCUGUGGCGUGGUGGUAGUCGAACUGGUGGUGAGUGCCAGACCGUAGGGGGUGUGAGUCCCGUAGACGAAACUGUCAUUGUCGUGGUGUGACGUUCUCCCGAGUAGCACGGGGCCCGUGAAAUCUCGUGUGAAUCUGCCAGGACCACCUGGUAAGCCUGAAUACUUCCUGAUGACCGAUAGCGGAUCAGUACCGUGAGGGAAUGGUGAAAAGUACCCCGGGAGGGGAGUGAAAUAGUACCUGAAACCGUGUGCUUACAAGCCGUUGGAGCCUUUAGGGGUGACAGCGUGCCUUUUGAAGAAUGAGCCUGCGAGUUAGUGUUACGUCGCGAGAUUAACCCGUGUGGGGUAGUCGUAGCGAAAGCGAGUCUGAAUAGGGCGUUGUGAGUGGCGUGAUCUAGACCCGAAGCGGGGUGAUCUACCCAUGGCCAGGUUGAAGCGCGUGUAAGAGCGCGUGGAGGACCGAACCCACUUCAGUUGAAAAUGGAGGGGAUGAGCUGUGGGUAGGGGUGAAAGGCCAAUCAAACUCCGUGAUAGCUGGUUCUCCCCGAAAUGCAUUUAGGUGCAGCGUUGCGUGUUGCUUGCUGGAGGUAGAGCUACUGGAUGGCUGAUGGGCCCUACAAGGUUACUGACGUCAACCAAACUCCGAAUGCCAGUCAAGUUGAGCGUGGCAGUGAGACUGUGGGGGAUAAGCUUCAUAGUCGAAAGGGAAACAGCCCAGACCAUCAACUAAGGCCCCUAAGCGUGUGCUAAGUGGGAAAGGAUGUGGAGUUGCUUAGACAACCAGGAGGUUGGCUUAGAAGCAGCCACCCUUGAAAGAGUGCGUAAUAGCUCACUGGUCAAGUGAUUCCGCGCCGAUAAUGUAGCGGGGCUCAAGUACACCGCCGAAGUUGUGGCAUGACACCGUAUAGCUGAGCCGUUUGUGGUUGAGGUGGUGUUGUGGGUAGGGGAGCGUCGUUGGGGUAGUGAAGCUGCGGGGUGACCCAGUGGUGGAACCUCAACGAGUGAGAAUGCAGGCAUGAGUAGCGAUAGACGGGUGAGAAACCCGUCCGCCGGAUGAUCAAGGGUUCCAGGGUCAAGCUAAUCUGCCCUGGGUGAGUCGGGACCUAAGGCGAGGCCGACAGGCGUAGUCGAUGGACAACGGGUUGAUAUUCCCGUACCGACGAAGAACCGACCCUACUGAACCGGGGAUACUAACCACCCGAACCACCAUGACCGUGUGCCCUUGUGGUACGCGGGGUGUGUGGGGAGCGUGGGACCUGAUCCGGGGAGGUAAACGUGUUAACAGGUGUGACGCAGGAAGGUAGCCGAGCCAGGCGAUGGUUGUCCUGGUCUAAGCAUGUAGGGUGACCCGUUGGUAAAUCCGCGGGUUGUGUGCCUGAGAUGUGAUGGGACUCUCUUAGGUGAGGGAAUUCGGUGAUCCUAUGCUGCCAAGAAAAGCAUCGACGUGAGGUUCUAGUCGCCCGUACCCCAAACCGACACAGGUGAUCAGGUAGAGAAUACUAAGGCGUUCGAGAGAAUCAUGGUUAAGGAACUCGGCAAAAUGCCCCCGUAACUUCGGGAGAAGGGGGGCCCUGUCUGGUGAGCACACGUGCUGUGUGAGCUGGGUG
Molecule: ribosomal RNA, 1963 nt
Filed under: Kocuria rhizophila
Lineage: Bacteria; Bacillati; Actinomycetota; Actinomycetes; Micrococcales; Micrococcaceae
Description: partial 23S ribosomal RNA
Rfam family: Bacterial large subunit ribosomal RNA
Source: RNAcentral